AUACGAUUUUAUUUUGAUAGUUCAAACUUAAGAAACGAAAAGGUGAUUCAAUUAUCUAGUGUAUCU
Molecule: small nucleolar RNA, 66 nt
Organism: Melanaphis sacchari
Lineage: Eukaryota; Metazoa; Arthropoda; Insecta; Hemiptera; Aphididae
Product: small nucleolar RNA SNORD77
Exons: 1
Source: RefSeq, a predicted model, not a curated record